AGGGGGAAAGGAAUAAUCAGGUUUCUAGAAGUUCUAGAAAGGUUUGGGUCGUCACUUUUGUAGGACAAGGGAUAAGGCCUUCUAGAAAGGUUGUUUUGUGGCUGAUUUCUAGAAAAACAAGGGAUAAGGUGCAACACCUUUGUAGGAGUGGAUAAGGGCUUCUAGAAACCUAUUUUAAUGUGUUUUAAUCUGAAACUAAAUCCCCUUUGCAACUGGAAUUAAGUUAGGAUAGGAUUAGGAUAGGAUAAGAUAAGGUUGGAUAAGAUUUUGGAUAAUGUUCCUUCUUUUGAGCUGAUUUCUUAUCUUCUUUGACUUGGAUUUAUUUCUUCACUCUUUUCAGCACAUUCCUAGCCUCUUGAACUUCAAAUUCGUCCAUCCAUCUUGUUCCAUUCAUAAGCUAUCCAUUUGGUGCCCAAAACUGCCUCAAAAUGCUCCAAAUUGCACUUUCUUGCCAACUUUGUCAUAUGGACCUACAAACACACGAAAAUAGCUUAAAACACUAUAAUAAACACAAACAAACUAUGAAAAUGCAAGAAAACAAGCUAACUAAGUCGCAUAAAUAUGCUCCUAUCAGUGGUUGGAACUAAAGGCCGCUCUUGAAGACUUCCUUCCUUCGACCCCUUAGGAUUUUGGCUUUAGGAAAUCUUUUGUGGAAAUCUUUUGUAACUUCACUUGUACGCCCUUUUUGCAAAAUGAAUGAACUUUUUAUUCUCACAUCUCCCAAGUGACUGGAUGGUAUUUCUUUAAAAAUUUCCCAUUGAUUGGUAGUUUAUGAAUUAGACCUGUUCGGUCUUUAAGGUGGUAUGCCCCCUUACCGAGAAUUUUAUGGACGAUGAACAGUCCUUCCCAGUUCGGCGACCAUUUCCCGAAUCUUGGAUCUUUGACUCCUACGGGCAACACAGCUUGCCAAACUAACUCUCCCUCGCCAAACGUUUUUUGUCUAACUCAUUGAUUAUAGGAUCGUUCGACAAUAUUUUAUGUGCCACCAAUAAAUUAUAAGCAUCAAAAUGAACUUCCUCCAAGUCUUCUAACUCUUGUCUCAUGGCCUGGUUAUAUUCAACACUGAACAAACUACUUUGCUCAAUUACUCACAACGAGUUUAUACUCAGCUUAACUGGUAACAUCAUGUCAUGCCCAUAAGUUAAUGCAUAUUGUUGGAAGUAUGCCCACAAAGCCACUCAUUUGAUGUAAUAGCUUUUUGGAAUACUUAAUGUAUUAAACUU
Molecule: long non-coding RNA, 1223 nt
Filed under: Malus domestica (apple)
Lineage: Eukaryota; Viridiplantae; Streptophyta; Magnoliopsida; Rosales; Rosaceae
Description: long non-coding RNA (MDOM_LNC012965)
Source: RNAcentral